GGACUACCCGGGUUUCUAAUCCCGUUCGCUACCCUAGCUUUCGUGCCUCAGCGUCAGUUAUGCCCCAGUGUGUCGCUUUCGCCACCGGCGUUCCUUCCGAUAUCAACACAUUUCACCGCUCCACCGGAAGUUCCACACACCCCUAGCACACUCAAGCCAUCCGGUUUCCAACGCAAUUUCACGGUUGAGCCGUGAGAUUUCACAUCAGACCUGAAUGGCCGCCUACGCACCCUUUAAGCCCAGUGAUUCCGAAUAACGUUCGCCCAGUACGUAUUACCGCGGCUGCUGGCACU
This 293-nucleotide unclassified non-coding RNA is filed under the name uncultured Planctomycetales bacterium. RNAcentral describes it as "contains 16S-23S intergenic spacer region". Lineage: Bacteria; Pseudomonadati; Planctomycetota; Planctomycetia; Planctomycetales. The record is from RNAcentral.